This 85-nucleotide transfer RNA is filed under the name Felis catus (domestic cat). It matches the Rfam family "tRNA". From Rfam's summary of the family: Transfer RNA (tRNA) molecules are approximately 80 nucleotides in length. The record is from Rfam by way of RNAcentral. Lineage: Eukaryota; Metazoa; Chordata; Mammalia; Carnivora; Felidae.
GCCUCAGUGGCUCAGUUGGUCGAGUGUCUGACUUUGGCUCAGGUCAUUAUCUUGCAGUUCAUGGGUUCGAGCCCCACAUCGGGCU